RNAcentral lists this ribosomal RNA (497 nucleotides) under uncultured bacterium. RNAcentral describes it as "partial 16S ribosomal RNA". It matches the Rfam family "Bacterial small subunit ribosomal RNA", at positions 28 to 507 of the family's 1533-position model. The record is from RNAcentral.
GAUGAACGCUGGCGGCGUGCCUAAUACAUGCCAGUCGAGCGAACAGACGAGGAGCUUGCUCCUCUGACGUUAGCGGCGGACGGGUGAGUAACACGUGGAUAACCUACCUAUAAGACUGGGAUAACUUCGGGAAACCGGAGCUAAUACCGGAUAAUAUAUUGAACCGCAUGGUUCAAUAGUGAGAGACGGUUUUGCUGUCACUUAUAGAUGGAUCCGCGCCGCAUUAGCUAGUUGGUAAGGUAACGGCUUACCAAGGCGACGAUGCGUAGCCGACCUGAGAGGGUGAUCGGCCACACUGGAACUGAGACACGGUCCAGACUCCUACGGGAGGCAGCAGUAGGGAAUCUUCCGCAAUGGGCGAAAGCCUGACGGAGCAACGCCGCGUGAGUGAUGAAGGUCUUCGGAUCGUAAAACUCUGUUAUUAGGGAAGAACAAAUGUGUAAGUAACUAUGCACGUCUUGACGGUACCUAAUCAGAAAGCCACGGCUAACUACGUG